Molecule: ribosomal RNA, 500 nt
Filed under: uncultured Bacillota bacterium
Lineage: Bacteria; Bacillati; Bacillota
Description: bacterial SSU rRNA
Rfam family: Bacterial small subunit ribosomal RNA
Source: RNAcentral
AGUGAGGAAGGCUUUCGGGUCGUAAAGCUCUGUUGCCAGGGAAGAAUAAGGGUGAGAGUAACUGCUCACUUUGAUGACGGUACCUGAGAAGAAAGCCCCGGCUAACUACGUGCCAGCAGCCGCGGUAAUACGUAGGGGGCAAGCGUUGUCCGGAAUUAUUGGGCGUAAAGCGCGCGCAGGCGGUUCUUUAAGUCUGGUGUCUAAGUGCGGGGCUCAACCCCGUGAUGCACUGGAAACUGGGGAACUUGAGUGCAGAAGAGGAGAGCGGAAUUCCACGUGUAGCGGUGAAAUGCGUAGAGAUGUGGAGGAACACCAGUGGCGAAGGCGGCUCUCUGGACUGUAACUGACGCUGAGGCGCGAAAGCGUGGGGAGCAAACAGGAUUAGAUACCCUGGUAGUCCACGCUGUAAACGAUGAGUGCUAGGUGUUGGGGGUAUCAUGCCCUCGGUGCCGAAGUUAACACAUUAAGCACUCCGCCUGGGGAGUACGGUCGCAAGACUG